UACUAAGCCAAAGUUUCCGGCAAAAUGGG
Molecule: non-coding RNA, 29 nt
Filed under: Mus musculus (house mouse)
Lineage: Eukaryota; Metazoa; Chordata; Mammalia; Rodentia; Muridae
Source: RNAcentral